This 502-nucleotide ribosomal RNA is filed under the name Bactrocera lineata. RNAcentral's name for it is "partial large subunit ribosomal RNA". It matches the Rfam family "Bacterial large subunit ribosomal RNA", at positions 1799 to 2568 of the family's 2925-position model. Lineage: Eukaryota; Metazoa; Arthropoda; Insecta; Diptera; Tephritidae. The record is from RNAcentral.
CCUGUUUAACAAAAACAUGUCUUUUUGAGUUAUUUUUAAAGUCUGACCUGCCCACUGAAAUUUUUAAAUGGCCGCAGUAUUCUAACUGUGCAAAGGUAGCAUAAUCAUUAGUCUUUUAAUUGAAGGCUGGUAUGAAUGGUUGGACGAGGUAUAAGCUGUUUCAUAUAAAUUUAUAAUAGAAUUUUAUAUUUUAGUCAAAAAGCUAAAAUUUAAUUAAAAGACGAGAAGACCCUAUAAAUCUUUAUACUUUACGUUGUUUAAAUUUUUUAGAUUGGUUUUAUUUUUAUAGUUUAAAGUAUUUUGUUGGGGUGAUGUUAAAAUUUAAUGAACUUUUAAUUAUUAAAAAUCAUUAAUUUAUGAUUUAUUGAUCCAUUAGUAGUGAUUAUAAGAUUAAGUUACUUUAGGGAUAACAGCGUAAUUUUUUUGGAGAGUUCAUAUCGAUAAAAAAGUUUGCGACCUCGAUGUUGGAUUAAGAUAUAUUUUUAGGUGUAGCCGCUUAAAU